Paramuricea clavata is the source of this 251-nucleotide non-coding RNA. The record is from the annotation of a GenBank genome assembly. NCBI's taxonomy places the organism in Eukaryota, Metazoa, Cnidaria, Anthozoa, Malacalcyonacea, Plexauridae.
CACAAAUUUGAGGUGUUGGAAAAACACGAGCCGUCCCCCCUGGAGAAAGAUAUGCAUGCAACCUCCCCCCUGAUUGUUUACACCAUACCUGUCUCGAUUGAAUUUUUUCCCUAACCACAAUAGUUGCAAAGAGAAUUCUUCACUUUGCGCUAAAAAAUGAUCUACAUCUUUCGAAACCAAGCUUAUUACUUUUGAAAUAAAGUAUUCUAUAGUAUAUCUAUAUAUAGAAAGCGGGAAGAGAUAGGGACACC